This 408-nucleotide ribosomal RNA is filed under the name uncultured bacterium. RNAcentral describes it as "bacterial SSU rRNA". It matches the Rfam family "Bacterial small subunit ribosomal RNA", at positions 975 to 1385 of the family's 1533-position model. The record is from RNAcentral.
CAAGGCUUGACAUAUAGAGGAAAAGUGCAGAGAUGCUCUCCCCGCAAGGUCUCUAUACAGGUGGUGCAUGGUUGUCGUCAGCUCGUGUCGUGAGAUGUUGGGUUAAGUCCCGCAACGAGCGCAACCCUCGUCGUAUGUUGCCAGCGGAUAAUGCCGGGGACUCAUACGAGACUGCCGGGGUCAACUCGGAGGAAGGUGGGGACGACGUCAAGUCAUCAUGCCCCUUAUGUCUAGGGCUGCACGCAUGCUACAAUGGCUGGUACAGAGGGCAGCAAUACCGCAAGGUGGAGCGAAUCCCAGAAAGCCGGUCUCAGUUCGGAUUGAGGUCUGCAACUCGACCUCAUGAAGUCGGAGUCGCUAGUAAUCGUAGAUCAGCGUGCCACGGUGAAUGCGUUCCCGGGUCUUGUA